Molecule: ribosomal RNA, 229 nt
Filed under: uncultured bacterium
Lineage: Bacteria
Description: partial 16S ribosomal RNA
Rfam family: Bacterial small subunit ribosomal RNA
Source: RNAcentral
AACGAACGCUGGCGGCGCGCCUAAUACAUGCAAGUCGAGCGAGAAGACGUAGCAAUACGUUUGUAAAGCGGCGAACGGGUGAGGAAUACAUGGGUAACCUACCCUCGAGUGGGGAAUAACUAGCCGAAAGGUUAGCUAAUACCGCGUACGCUCCUUGGACUUCGGUUCAGGGAGGAAAGCGAUACCGUGGGUAUCGCGCUCUUGGAUGGGCUCAUGUCCUAUCAGCUUG